UUGAUGGCGACCGGCGCACGGGUGAGUAACACGUAUCCAACCUGCCGAUGACUCGGGGAUAGCCUUUCGAAAGAAAGAUUAAUACCCGAUGGCAUAGUUCUUCCGCAUGGUAGAACUAUUAAAGAAUUUCGGUCAUCGAUGGGGAUGCGUUCCAUUAGGUUGUUGGCGGGGUAACGGCCCACCAAGCCUUCGAUGGAUAGGGGUUCUGAGAGGAAGGUCCCCCACAUUGGAACUGAGACACGGUCCAAACUCCUACGGGAGGCAGCAUG
RNAcentral lists this ribosomal RNA (269 nucleotides) under uncultured bacterium. RNAcentral describes it as "partial 16S ribosomal RNA". It matches the Rfam family "Bacterial small subunit ribosomal RNA", at positions 85 to 353 of the family's 1533-position model. The record is from RNAcentral.